GACGAACGCUGGCGGCGUGCCUAAUACAUGCAAGUUGAGCGAUGAAGAUUGGUGCUUGCACCAAUUUGAAGAGCAGCGAACGGGUGAGUAACGCGUGGGGAAUCUGCCUUUGAGCGGGGGACAACAUUUGGAAACGAAUGCUAAUACCGCAUAACAACUUUAAACAUAAGUUUUAAGUUUGAAAGAUGCAAUUGCAUCACUCAAAGAUGAUCCCGCGUUGUAUUAGCUAGUUGGUGAGGUAAAGGCUCACCAAGGCGAUGAUACAUAACCGACCUGAGAGGGUGAUCGGCCACAUUGGGACUGAGACACGGCCCAAACUCCUACGGGAGGCAGCAGGAGGGAAUCUUCGGCAAUGGACGAAAGUCUGACCGAGGAACGCCGCGUGAGUGAAGAAGGGUUUCGGAUCGUAAAACUCGGUUGGUAGAGAAGAACGUUGGUGAGAGUGGAAAGCUCAUCAAGUGACGGUAACUACCCAGAAAGGGACGGCUAACUACGUG
Molecule: ribosomal RNA, 497 nt
Filed under: uncultured bacterium
Lineage: Bacteria
Description: partial 16S ribosomal RNA
Rfam family: Bacterial small subunit ribosomal RNA
Source: RNAcentral